CAGCCGCCGCGGUAAUACGAAGGGGGCUAGCGUUGCUCGGAAUGACUGGGCGUAAAGGGCGCGUAGGCGGUUUUGACAGUCAGAUGUGAAAUUCCUGGGCUUAACCUGGGGGCUGUAUUUGAGACGUCAAGACUAGAGUGUGAGAGAGGGUUGUGGAAUUCCCAGUGUAGAGGUGAAAUUCGUAGAUAUUGGGAAGAACACCGGUGGCGAAGGCGGCAACCUGGCUCAUUACUGACGCUGAGGCGCGAAAGCGUGGGGAGCAAACAGGAUUAGAUACCCCGGUAGUCCCUGUCUCUUAUAC
Molecule: ribosomal RNA, 301 nt
Filed under: uncultured bacterium
Lineage: Bacteria
Description: partial 16S ribosomal RNA
Rfam family: Bacterial small subunit ribosomal RNA
Source: RNAcentral